RNAcentral lists this ribosomal RNA (279 nucleotides) under uncultured Staphylococcus sp. Its description in RNAcentral is "partial 16S ribosomal RNA". It matches the Rfam family "Bacterial small subunit ribosomal RNA", at positions 83 to 354 of the family's 1533-position model. Lineage: Bacteria; Bacillati; Bacillota; Bacilli; Caryophanales; Staphylococcaceae. The record is from RNAcentral.
CCUUUGACGUUAGCGGCGGACGGGUGAGUAACACGUGGGUAACCUACCUAUAAGACUGGGAUAACUUCGGGAAACCGGAGCUAAUACCGGAUAAUAUUUCGAACCGCAUGGUUCGAUAGUGAAAGANGGUUUUGCUAUCACUUAUAGAUGGACCUGCGCCGUAUUAGCUAGUUGGUAAGGUAACGGCUUACCAAGGCGACGAUACGUAGCCGACCUGAGAGGGUGAUCGGCCACACUGGAACUGAGACACGGUCCAGACUCCUACGGGAGGCAGCAGGG